UGAAGAAAGUAUUUGGCAAAGUUCUUCAAAGCCACAUCAUCACGGUCAAAGCAGUAAGACAUGGACAGGACAUGACUAUACCUUCUCGCAUCAGAAAAACAGCUAUGGAUAGUCUCCUGCAAUCAAACCAAUCUUCCAAAAAGACUGCUUUCAUAUCACUUCCCAGUUGGGCCUCAGGAGGUGAAAGACUCUGAAGGAGAAAGAAACAGUCAGGGGCUAUGUGAAUUCAUGAAGGGCUGCCAACAUGAUGUAGGUAUGAAGUAGCAGAAAAGUGGUGGAAUCCCAGACUACAUUACUGAUCCAAUUACUCAAAGAUGUUUUAUAUUUUGACAUUUUUCUAAGCAUCUUUCUAGCACCAUGUCUUAAAAAUGUCACUGCUCCUGCAAUUCUAUUGUGUUACUUAUAAUUUUACUUUUUUGAAUGGUAGAAAUGUACAGCACCUCAUAACGGCUAAACACAUUAAUUCUUAUUCUUCAAUAAAGUCUUCUACUUAAAUUUAGUUUAAGCUUAUAAGCAGAGAUACAGUUAUGGAAACAGUUGACACUUUAUCUAGGCCAUUGAUAAAAGAACAUUUAUUUCAGACACAGUGAUUCAAAGACAAGCUUACAAUAAGCUUUUAGUUACUGCCCAGUUUUUAG
RNAcentral lists this long non-coding RNA (638 nucleotides) under Homo sapiens (human). Its description in RNAcentral is "HSALNT0178630". The record is from RNAcentral. Lineage: Eukaryota; Metazoa; Chordata; Mammalia; Primates; Hominidae.